This is a long non-coding RNA of Pseudoliparis swirei, 656 nucleotides long. RefSeq lists it as uncharacterized. The record is from RefSeq and is a predicted model, not a curated record. The transcript is spliced from 3 exons. NCBI's taxonomy places the organism in Eukaryota, Metazoa, Chordata, Actinopteri, Perciformes, Liparidae.
UUCAAAAGAAAGAAAUCCAAAACAACAGAGCAGGACAGAGCAGCAGAAGCCAGCAGUGCUAGUCAGUCUGAGGAUGAGAGCCAGCUUGACUCUGCUAGGGAUGUACAGCAGGAGCCUCCAGCUUCAGCUGUACACAUGGGUAUGUAAAAUCCUGAUAGUUCCAGAUUUCUCUUUAGUAAGCACUUAUUUGAUUGCCUUGAUAAUAUCAAUGACAUUGUGGUUAAUUGCCAGACAUUGAAACUAAAGUUGACACUAACUUCUCAAUUAGUGUAGAAGUGCAAUAGUCAUUAUUUCAUUUUAGUCAUCUGGGUUGCGUAACAUACCACUUAGCCUACUUACAAAAAGGCUGAUUUUAUUAUCAUUCUGAUGACAACGUAUGUGUUUUUGUAGACUCAGACAAGGAUACUGGUGAUGAAGGCCCUUCAUCUUCACUUGCACAUCAGGGUGUGUCAAGUCAGCCACUCUCUGACAAUGACACUGACACUGAGAACCAUCCAGCAGUACCUGCAGGCCAUGCAGUGACACGUGGGGAUGGUGAUGCAGCAGCCCUUGUGGCCCCACCUGGACCUCAUGAUAUUUCACAGUCAAGAGCAGCAGGUCCCUCUCAGCCUCGUUUAAAGGUUUUUCCAAGAACCCUCCAAGGUGAGAAGAGGAGG